This 356-nucleotide long non-coding RNA is filed under the name Piliocolobus tephrosceles (Ugandan red Colobus). Its description in RNAcentral is "lncRNA (ENSPTEG00000010793.1)". Lineage: Eukaryota; Metazoa; Chordata; Mammalia; Primates; Cercopithecidae. The record is from RNAcentral.
AAAAAAAAAAAAAAAAAAGUUACAUAUACAUAUUAAAUACGUUGCAUGUGUACAACCCUAAUACGUAACUAAUGCACCAUUUUUAUUUCUAAUUCAGAUAUUAUGUAGGUCUACUAACAGCACUAGCACUUUUCCAUUGUUUAGUGUUUGUUUUCUGUCUUGUUUUUUUCAUUUUAUUUUUGAAAAAUGAUAGCACAAAGAAUCAAUGGAAAUCUUUCUACAACACAUCAAGCGAUGUCCCUUUUUACGUUUUAGUGAGUGCACUCACUGUGUUGAACGGAGUUUUUUUUUGUUUUAGUUGUACAACUUCUAGGAUUGCACAUUUUUCUGAUUUUAAAAAAAAUGACCACAUAUGA